CCAGGGCUUCUGUUCUCAUCGAAUCCGAGAUCGUGUAGUUUAGCGAUGGGGAAAGACUCGAAGGCAGGAGGCAAGGGGAAGGGGAAGCAGGCCGCCGCCGCCGCCGGAGGGGACGAGAAUACUUCCAAGGGGAAAGGGAAGGGGGGAAAGUCGUCCGAUGGGCUCGGCACUUGCACUUAUGUCAAAGCAAGGCAUAUAUUAUGUGAGAAACAGGGUAAAAUCAAUGAAGCAUACAAGAAGCUGCAAGAUGGUUGGCUAAGCAACGGAGAUAAGGUUCCUCCUGCUGAGUUUGCGAAAAUCGCUACAGAGUAUUCAGAAUGCCCAUCAGGAAAAAAGGGUGGUGACCUUGGGUGGUUUCCUAGGGGGAAGAUGGCAGGACCAUUUCAGGAGGUUGCUUUUAACACGCCUGUUGGAGUUACCAGUGCACCAUUCAAAUCGACGCACGGUUAUCAUAUUAUCCUGUCGGAAGGGCGGAAGAAUUGAUGGUGUUCUCGAAACCUCCUUCCUGCCUUGAAUCAGAGAAUUAUAUUGUAUAUCUAAGUCUCUUGGACUUUUGAUCAGUCCUAAAUGGCAAUAUGAUGUUUGAUCAGUCCUAAAUGACAAUAUGAUGUAUGGACCUGAUGGUC
RNAcentral lists this unclassified non-coding RNA (626 nucleotides) under Hevea brasiliensis (rubber tree). Lineage: Eukaryota; Viridiplantae; Streptophyta; Magnoliopsida; Malpighiales; Euphorbiaceae. The record is from RNAcentral.